This 487-nucleotide ribosomal RNA is filed under the name Magallana bilineata (tropical oyster). RNAcentral describes it as "partial large subunit ribosomal RNA". It matches the Rfam family "Bacterial large subunit ribosomal RNA", at positions 1832 to 2597 of the family's 2925-position model. Lineage: Eukaryota; Metazoa; Mollusca; Bivalvia; Ostreida; Ostreidae. The record is from RNAcentral.
CGCUAGAAGAAGUAACUUUUAGCAAUACCUGCCCAGUGCGAAAUAUUAAUGUAAACGGCCGCCCUAGCGUGAGGGUGCUAAGGUAGCGAAAUUCCUUGCCUUUUGAUUGUAGGCCUGCAUGAAUGGUUUAACGAGGGUUUAGCUGUCUCUAAAUUUUUAAUUGAAAUUGUAUUGAAGGUGAAGAUACCUUCAUUUAAAAGUUAGACAAAAAGACCCCGUGCAACUUUGAAAAUUAACUUUAUUCAGGGGUAAAAGAUUUUUAGGUGGGGCGCCUAGAAAGUAAGCCUAACCUUUCUGAGUAGGAGUUUCUUUCAGGAGUUGACCCGAUUAUAUUCGAUCAUAGGAGAAGUUACGCCGGGGAUAACAGGCUAAUCCUUUAGUAGAGCUCGUAUUGGCUAAAGGGAUUGGCACCUCGAUGUUGAAUCAGGGAUGAUAGCUUCAAGGCGUAGAGGCUUUGAGAGUAGGUCUGUUCGACCUUUAAUACCCU